Molecule: non-coding RNA, 31 nt
Filed under: Mus musculus (house mouse)
Lineage: Eukaryota; Metazoa; Chordata; Mammalia; Rodentia; Muridae
Source: RNAcentral
CCUGCAUUUCUCUUGGAGUUCUACUCUUCGG